UGCCAGUAGCACGUGUGUCUCGACAUCCCGACCCGAUGUAUGCCUUUGUGCGCUUUAGGGAUGAUGGAAUGAAAGUAGCCGUGUCCGUCGAUCGCAUUAAGAAUUUCGCACCAAAAAAUCUCAGGGAUUUGAACUCCACAAGAUGGUAUGAAGUGCGCUGGAAGGACGAAGAAAACAGCGGAUAUUUCCGGGCCCAAAUUAUGAAGUUGUGUGCAACCAAAGAGGAGGUCGACGCGUGCACGGAAGGUGUGGAGAAGCGCAUUUCGUGCCCGAAAAUGCCACUGUACAGUGACUCUGAAGAAGACUCUUGCACCAGUCACGAUUCCUACCGAGAGGAGAAGAAGAACAAACGAACUUCAAAGUUGCGGCAGAAGAAUGUUGAGGCGGCGUUCAGGAAAAAGCAAUUAGAGGCUCUCUUCCCUGAGGAACAGGACCAGAAGACAGACGAGCUUGAGCAGGAAGUUUUCAGGCUGAGAGCAGAAAAUGCCAAACUCUCUGCAAGAAUAGAGAUGCUGGAAAGAGCUCUGUGUAGCAAGAUCUUCAAUGCAGGUUUCAGAUCCAAUUUCAUUGUAUCGAGUGUUUUCCAGAGAUCUCCCAUUCUGCAUAAGCGUUUUUCUUCUAUGAUCACGCAGUCUUUCACAUUGCUUAUCUAGUCAUCUCCUUAUUUGUAAUAUCUGCUGCUUGCUUUUAUCCUAAUGUCUAAUCUCAUUUUCUCUUUUCCAUCUUCCUAUGCAUUGUCCUAAGCUUCCUCGAUUAUCUGUCAAGUUCCUCCACUAACAUGCAAGUUCUUUCCCUAUAGGUCUGCAAUAUUGAACAGUUCCUUAUUCUCAUCUACAAUACCUGCUGGGGGAAAGGAAAUAUUUGCAAAUGCAAAAUGAUGAAAAAGAAUACUGGUCCUAAAUUUGAUUUAUUUUGCUGCUUUUCUAUUCUGCGUUUGAGGAGAAUGCGAAACCAUUGUAUGUGGAAGCUGCACCGAUUCAGCAUCUAUCCUAAAAAACUGAAAGCGCUCCGACUACAUAGCAGAGUAACACGUUGAGAAAUUCUACCCUUCUAGGUUUCAUUGCCAGACAAAGUUGUCCCCUAGUGCAGCUAUUCAACACUUUAAUUUCUGAUUCAGUCUAGUACUGACUUGCAGCUUCUGUCUUCCUGUGACGUCUUUGUCCUGUCUGUAUGCUUAUAGUGCACAGGCUCACCUACUCUUGGGGUAAACAUGCAAGCACGUGGCUAUGCACAAUCUAGUGGCAAUGCAACCAGUUGGUCAUAUACACGCAAACCUGCACUGGUGCAGCGACACCUGAACGUGUGGCUUUGCAUCAUCUGAUACACACCGUAUAGGCCUGCAUUGCCCUUAAGUCUGCCAUGCAUUUUCAUGCCACAUGUAUCAACGGGUGGUGCAUUCACCACCAUGAAGCAAAUGAACUGCACCGUCUCCAGCAAAAUGUAUCUUGAGGGCAAAGAAUUCGGUACCAUUAUGGUUACUGCUAGGGCAAUGAGAAGGGCCAUAUUCUUUUUCACUGAUGGAAAAAAAGAAAGUUCAGUUCAUUAGGUUCAAAACUGUGAAACUGCUGCCUGUUACAUGCGGGAGACAAGUAGAGCAUUGGUGCCAAUGCAGCAGCAAAACUGAAAGUGAAAUUUGCCUAUAUACAACACAGGCCUGGCAAGCCACUCAAAAUGCAGAUGAUGCGAAAGCUAUGCCUUUAAGUGCGGCUGCAUAUAUUUGCAGGCUUGGUUCCAUGUGUGACUGCACCAACACUCCACAUAGCAUGACCACAUGCUUGCCUUUUCACCAUGAAAGCCUGUGUGUGCCUGAUAUUCUGUGUCAUAGUCUUUAGGUGAUGUUUGCAGUGGGAAAAUGUUCUGUCAUUUAUAUUUGUGUAUUGUACAUUUGGUAUUUCUUGAUGACCUGUAUUUCAGAGAAACGCUGUUGUGAAAAGAGCGCACACGGUGACAAAGUUGACAAAGUGAUGACACGGUGACAAGCUCGGAAAGGAGCAUGAAAAAGGCACUGCAGCCCUCCGGGAGCGCAGGCGCACCAAAACCAGCACAACAGCCCUUCAGGAGUCCUGAAGGACCAGUGAAGGGCAGCUCGGAAGAAACGCCAUCAAGCAAUUUAAAAGAAAAUGACGAGCCAAAUGCUGGAAAGUUGACAGCUUCUCUUUACAAAAGUGCUGAAGGACAAGUACAUUUGGGGAAGGACGUAUACGUUACGGAGGCUCUCUAUAACCGCCUCAUGGCUGCGAAGACGGACAGGCGAUUUGUUCGGGAAGCUGCUGUGGCAAUUUUUUCGACGGCAGGCUUGGCUGGCCACAGUGUGACCGGUGCAGUCUCAAACCGGACGAAAACUGGCGCAAAGCCAGCGUUGGACAAAACUAAGUACUCAGUCCUACGUGAUUUCUUCAGCAACUUUUUGCUACAACGUUAUCCGAUUGGGGAGAUGGAAAAAAGAAAAAGACUGAUGAAUAAAAUCCUUGCUGUCAAGAUUGCCGAUAUAAUGAAAGUGAGUGCAGCAGGACAGCGACGGAGAAAGUGCCAGCAACCUUGGAGAACUCAAAGAAGCAGGCAAAGAACAUGUAUGUGGAGCGGAAUAAAGACCUUUUGUGUAUUA
Dermacentor andersoni is the source of this 2605-nucleotide non-coding RNA. The record is from RefSeq and is a predicted model, not a curated record. NCBI's taxonomy places the organism in Eukaryota, Metazoa, Arthropoda, Arachnida, Ixodida, Ixodidae.